GGUACAACCAAGGACUGUUGACUGGAUGAAUGAAAUGUGACUUUAAUGCUGCGCCCCAUCAAGCGAGGGUUGCUACAUUGUUGGGGGGAGGGGGUCCCUCAAGCAUCUAGUGUGUCCCCCAGGACACAGGCAGCACUCACUCCUGAGGCCCAACAUGGAAGUCCCCCCAACUGCUCCUGCCUCCCCAGGCAUCUCCCAGCCCCGAAAGGGGGCUCUUCACCACUGACCAAAACUCUCUGUGAUAGCACGGAUCCCGCAGAGUUGUGUGCAGGGUGCUGAGCUCCUCAGGGGAGGCUCCAUCUCAUUCAUGGCCAUGGCAAGGUGCCAAGUGCAGGCCUCACUUGGAAUCAGCAGCCAAGAGCUACUUGUCAAGCUGGAUUACAUGCAAGCCAGUCUCAAUUCUCAGAUUUACCCCCUUUCCCUACCUGUUCCCUUCUCCUCCCCAACCCCCUUCUCAGGGCCCCCUUACCAGGCCACCCGGGACAUGGCAUAUGUGACUCGGCAUGUCUGGGCCCCCUCAAGGAGGGAACCCAUGCCCACAGUGUAGGCGCCCAUGUUCUCAAAGACCAGCCAGUCCCCUACGUGUAGUUGCGGCAGCCACAGGCCCUCAGCUAUGCAGUCACAGCCAUCGACCACAGGGCCCCACAGGCUGCUGCUGUACAGGGGCUGCUCCAUGGAUGAUUUCUGCAGGAGACAGGGAUAGUCACAUUGAGCGCAGCCUUAGCAUUCCUCCCUCAAAAGCUUUCCAUGGCUCCCAUAACCAGUUUAAUAAAGACUGGAUGGGCACGUAAGGCCCUCCAGCUUCUCUGCGCU
Molecule: long non-coding RNA, 813 nt
Organism: Panthera uncia (snow leopard)
Lineage: Eukaryota; Metazoa; Chordata; Mammalia; Carnivora; Felidae
Exons: 2
Source: RefSeq, a predicted model, not a curated record